Molecule: ribosomal RNA, 253 nt
Filed under: uncultured bacterium
Lineage: Bacteria
Description: partial 16S ribosomal RNA
Rfam family: Bacterial small subunit ribosomal RNA
Source: RNAcentral
UACGAAGGGGGCUAGCGUUGCUCGGAAUCACUGGGCGUAAAGCGCACGUAGGCGGAUCGUUAAGUCAGGGGUGAAAUCCUGGAGCUCAACUCCAGAACUGCCUUUGAUACUGGCGACCUUGAGUUCGGGAGAGGUGAGUGGAACUGCGAGUAUAGAGGUGAAAUUCGUAGAUAUUCGCAAGAACACCAGUGGCGAAGGCGGCUCACUGGCCCGAUACUGACGCUGAGGUGCGAAAGCGUGGGGAGCAAACAGG